Unclassified non-coding RNA from Pongo abelii (Sumatran orangutan), 148 nucleotides. It matches the Rfam family "Metazoan signal recognition particle RNA". Rfam says of the family: The signal recognition particle (SRP) is a universally conserved ribonucleoprotein. The record is from Ensembl. Lineage: Eukaryota; Metazoa; Chordata; Mammalia; Primates; Hominidae.
GCUGGGCGUGGUGGCAGGCGCCUGUAGUCCCAGAUACUCAGGAAGCUGAGGCAGGAGAAUUGCUUGAACCCAGGAGACAAGGGUUGCAGUGAGCCAAGAUUGCGCCACUGCACUCCAGCCUGGGUGACAGAGCGAGACUCUGUCUCAC